RNAcentral lists this ribosomal RNA (1346 nucleotides) under uncultured bacterium. Its description in RNAcentral is "partial 16S ribosomal RNA". It matches the Rfam family "Bacterial small subunit ribosomal RNA", at positions 28 to 1381 of the family's 1533-position model. The record is from RNAcentral.
GACGAACGCUGGCGGCGUGCUUAACACAUGCAAGUCGAACGGAAAGGCCCUGCUUUUGUGGGGUGCUCGAGUGGCGAACGGGUGAGUAACACGUGAGUAACCUGCCCUUGACUUUGGGAUAACUUCAGGAAACUGGGGCUAAUACCGGAUAGGAGCUCCUGCUGCAUGGUGGGGGUUGGAAAGUUUCGGCGGUUGGGGAUGGACUCGCGGCUUAUCAGCUUGUUGGUGGGGUAGUGGCUUACCAAGGCUUUGACGGGUAGCCGGCCUGAGAGGGUGACCGGCCACAUUGGGACUGAGAUACGGCCCAGACUCCUACGGGAGGCAGCAGUGGGGAAUAUUGCACAAUGGGCGGAAGCCUGAUGCAGCAACGCCGCGUGCGGGAUGACGGCCUUCGGGUUGUAAACCGCUUUCGCCUGUGACGAAGCGUGAGUGACGGUAAUGGGUAAAGAAGCACCGGCUAACUACGUGCCAGCAGCCGCGGUGAUACGUAGGGUGCGAGCGUUGUCCGGAUUUAUUGGGCGUAAAGGGCUCGUAGGUGGUUGAUCGCGUCGGAAGUGUAAUCUUGGGGCUUAACCCUGAGCGUGCUUUCGAUACGGGUUGACUUGAGGAAGGUAGGGGAGAAUGGAAUCCCCGGUGGAGCGGUGGAAUGCGCAGAUAUCAGGAGGAACACCAGUGGCGAAGGCGGUUCUCUGGGCCUUUCCUGACGCUGAGGAGCGAAAGCGUGGGGAGCGAACAGGCUUAGAUACCCUGGUAGUCCACGCUGUAAACGGUGGGUACUAGGUGUGGGGUCCAUUCCACGGGUUCCGUGCCGUAGCUAACGCUUUAAGUACCCCGCCUGGGGAGUACGGCCGCAAGGCUAAAACUCAAAGGAAUUGACGGGGCCCCGCACAAGCGGCGGAGCAUGCGGAUUAAUUCGAUGCAACGCGUAGAACCUUACCUGGGUUUGACAUGGAUCGGGAGUGCUCAGAGAUGGGUGUGCCUCUUUUGGGGUCGGUUCACAGGUGGUGCAUGGCUGUCGUCAGCUCGUGUCGUGAGAUGUUGGGUUAAGUCCCGCAACGAGCGCAACCCUUGUUCACUGUUGCCAGCACGUUAUGGUGGGGACUCAGUGGAGACCGCCGGGGUCAACUCGGAGGAAGGUGGGGAUGACGUCAAGUCAUCAUGCCCCUUAUGUCCAGGGCUUCACGCAUGCUACAAUGGCUGGUACAGAGAGUGGCGAGCCUGUGAGGGUGAGCGAAUCUCGGAAAGCCGGUCUCAGUUCGGAUUGGGGUCUGCAACUCGACCUCAUGAAGUCGGAGUCGCUAGUAAUCGCAGAUCAGCAACGCUGCGGUGAAUACGUUCCCGGGGCU